This 433-nucleotide ribosomal RNA is filed under the name uncultured bacterium. RNAcentral's name for it is "partial 16S ribosomal RNA". It matches the Rfam family "Bacterial small subunit ribosomal RNA", at positions 29 to 507 of the family's 1533-position model. The record is from RNAcentral.
AACGAACGCUGGCGGCAUGCCUAACACAUGCAAGUCGAACGAGACCUUCGGGUCUAGUGGCGCACGGGUGCGUAACGCGUGGGAACCUGCCCUUAGGUUCGGAAUAACUCCCCGAAAGGGGUGCUAAUACCGGAUAAUGUCUUCGGACCAAAGAUUUAUCGCCUUUGGAUGGGCCCGCGUUGGAUUAGCUAGUUGGUAGGGUAAAAGCCUACCAAGGCGACGAUCCAUAGCUGGUCUGAGAGGAUGAUCAGCCACACUGGGACUGAGACACGGCCCAGACUCCUACGGGAGGCAGCAGUGGGGAAUAUUGGACAAUGGGCGAAAGCCUGAGCCAGCAAUGCCGCGUGAGUGAUGAAGGCCUUAGGGUUGUAAAGCUCUUUUACCCGGGAUGAUAAUGGCAGUACCGGGAGAAUAAGCGCCGGCUAACUCCGUG